This 21940-nucleotide long non-coding RNA is filed under the name Lactuca sativa (garden lettuce). Its description in RNAcentral is "long non-coding RNA (LSAT_LNC001807)". Lineage: Eukaryota; Viridiplantae; Streptophyta; Magnoliopsida; Asterales; Asteraceae. The record is from RNAcentral.
GUUAGACCUUGGAAAGAAGAUUGGCUUAGAGGGAAGAGCUUGAAGAGCAAAGGAGUUGAGGCAAGGAAGGUGUGGGAAACAGAACUUACCUCAUCUAGCAUCUUUUGGAGGUAUCAAGUUGCAAUCUUUACUCCCCUUUUCUUCUAGAUCUCUUUGUGGUUGAGUUCUAGGGUUUUAUGGAUUUUUGGGAGUCACAUUGGUGAGCUAUGGGCUAGAUCUGAAGUUGUAACUUCGUAUCUGGACCCUUAUCAAGUUCUAGAAUCAUAAAGUUUCUAUUUUGGUCGUUGUUGAGGCCCUCCUUGUGCAUGAAACCCCAUUAAGAGCUUAGAUUUGGCAUUAAGAGCCUUGUUAGUCAUGCAUGCACGUAAAGUUUGCAACUUUACGUAAAAAGCAUGUCCUAGAAGCUUGGAUCUGUAAUUUAGAGCCAUUACAUGGCUUAAAUAAGUCUGUAUGGCUUAAGGACUGAAGGAACUUGGCGAGUCGCAAGGUUGACUCGGCGAGUCAUAUGAAGAUGGUCGAUGAACUCGACGAGUUGAUGAACAACUCGGCGAGUCCGAUGAAGAUUGCCUUAGACUUGACGAGUUGUAUGAACAACUCGGCGAGUCGGAUGAGUUUUCCUCGAGUUAUGAAUGUGUGCGUAGCCGACGUGUUGCAAGAUGGAAACUCGACGAGUGGACUUAGGGUUUCGAUCGAAAAUCAUAGGAACUCGACGAGUCACCCGAUGACUCGGCAAGUGGGAAAGAACUUUGAAGAACUCGGCGAGUAGCCGAGGGUAGUCGGCGUGUUAAGGUCAACAGGGACUGUUGACCUUGACUGAGGACUUUGACUUUGAAUUUGACCUGGGGUUGACUGGUUGGUUUAUGGAGUACUUGUAAGGUUGAGAAUUUAUGAGUAUGCUCAUACUAUGGUAAUAGAUGGAGGAGUCUUUGGUGAGUGAUCCGAGAGUUGGGAUUUAUCUACGAGUCGACAUUUGCGAGGUGAGUUAUCCUCACUGUAUCAAAAGGGUCUAAGGCACCAAGGCCAGCCCUUUAUGGUUUGCAUCCUGGUUUAGGAUGGUUGUUAUGUUAUUGAUAUGCUAGAUACAUCCUGGUUUAGGGUGGUUGCUAUGUUACUGAUAUACUAGAUUUCAUGCUGGUUUAGGAUGAUUUCUAUGUUAGAUUUCGGUUAGAUCGGUAUCCUGAUUAUAGGAUGUUGUUAUGCUAUUUGAUCUAUUAGAUCAGUUUGAUUGUUAUGAAUGCUAGCGUAUGAUAUUUAUGUGCACAUGUGCGUUGAUUGGGGAUUGGAUUAAGGCGGUCCUGCUUUGUGCUGAAGGCCAACAUACCCUAUGAGCGGUCCGGGGAGACUGUAGGCCCACGAGGCGGUCCAGUCAAGCCGAAGGCUCGGAAUAGAUUCAGUUAGACUGUAGGCCCUGUAGGGCGAUCCAGUCAGGCCGAUGGCCCAAUAUGCAUAUUGAUUGAUUGAUUAUUACUAAUAUCAUAUUAUUAGUAUGGUGUUGGUAUUUUGGGGGUAGCUCACUGAGCCCUUGGGCUUACAGUUUUCAAUUAUUGUUUCAGGUACUUCAAGAGAUUGUGGCAAGGCGAUGGUGUGACCGUACUGCUCCUCAUCCUUACGAGCUGUUUUGGGAUACUCUGAUGAAUAAUGAUUUGAAAACAAUUUGUAAGAAAACACUAUUUGGGUUUAAAUUGUGAUUGGAAAAGUUUAAAUCUGGUGUAAAAUUUAAGGAUGUUACAAGCUGGUAUCAGAGCCUUGGUUUGAGUGAAUUGGAGGAGCACUCGUGUGAAUCCAGUCUCAAAUCAAGGAGAUUUUUGGAAAGUAAAAUUUUAAAAUGGGUUUAAAAAUAAAGGAUGGAGGAUGCAGAGGGUACGAUCAGCCGGAGCCUGUAAGUAAACCCCAAAAUACCAUACAGUUAUUUGAUAUUAUGAUAUGUUAGAACAGCAUGCUAGUGCUAGGCUAGGGAUCUUCAGGAAUCGCAUGAUAGACUUGCCUGAUUAUAUGAUGCCUACUAGCCUAGGGUUUCUCAUAUAUGGAAUUAACAUCAUUACUGUAGUUGUUAGUGUAUGCAUCACGGUUGUGUGUAAUCAAGAUCUUAUAUCCUGAGAAUGUUGGAUUCAGUUUUCAGAUAGGAUUAGAUAUUCGAAAGUCUAUUGGGUCCAGUGUUAUGUGCGACUAGCAUGCACAAACGCUACAGGGGGUUGAUGGAAGUUUCAUGGAUGUGUGUGUCGUGGGAGCAGUGAGGUUUGUUGCGAGGUAGGAAAUGCUCCCCUAGGAGUGAGGUUGAGCGCAUAUUAUGUUGACGAUAGUAUUAUGGUGUUGUGGUGAUACUUGAGACAAAUAUGGGUAGAUGUGGAAGGUAGUAUGGGCCCGUACUACUGAAAGCACAGGACCCAUACGCGUAGCAAGGAAGUCACAACCCUUAGGGUAUGUGGGUUUUGGUCUCCCGAUAUUAUGUUGCUCAUCUCAUGUCUUGAGUAUAUCUUUCAGUAUGGUGGUGAUGAGACGUUUUGCUGCUGGGUCCGGAUCAGGGUCAGGGUCAAGGUCGGGAGACGGAGGGUUAGAGGUGUCGGUAGUACCUGAGCCCGUGGUUCAGAGAGGGACAGAGGAGUUGGAUGCCAAGAUCUGGGAGAUUCUGCACGAUGAGGUCGCUGCGGCCUUUUGAGCGCAGUUGCCGGAGAUGUUUGGGUCGAUUAAGACCACGAUGGUUGAGUAUUUUGAUGAGCGAUAUGCAGCUCUAGCUAAGAUAGUNCCACAUCGGCUGUAACCGCGACAGGGGUUGGAGGAGGAGUCGGCAGGGCUUUCCAGUACCGGGACUUCGAUAACACGAAGCCCCCAACGUUUGAUGCUACACAGGAUGCGAUUAGGGCUAUGAGGUGGUUGUAUGACGUGGAGGGUUGUUUCUUCACGUGCUCGUGCCCGGCUGACCAGAAGGUCAGGUGUGCCCUGAACCUGCUAAGGCUCGGGGCAAAGGACUGGUGAAGAUUUACGACAGUGUCAUAUAUUGAUGAUCAGCGAGCUGCUGUUACUUGGGAGAAGUUCCGAGAUAUGUUCCGCACCCGGUACGUUCCACGUGUUGAGCGGGAGCGGCUUGCUCAGGAGUUCUUGACUUUGAGGCAGGAUGGGGAUUUUGUGAUGGAGAUUACCCGUAUGUUCACAGAAAGGGAGAUGUUUUGCCCGGACUUUGCUUCAGAGUAGUCUCAGAUGUCUACACAGCAUUGUGAUACCCUCUUAGAUCUUCAGGAAGCCGCGAGGCGGCGUGAGUUGGAGUUAGAGCUGCAGUUGAAGGAGCAGCGUCAGGCACCAACACAGUCUCAGCCGGCGCCUGAGCGGUCUAAGAUUACUAAUGCUCGGGUUGGGAGUCAGCAGAGCUGCAUAUAUGGAAAGUGUGGCAGGGUUCAUUCUGGGGUUUGUCGAGCAGAAAGUGAGUGCCACUAAUAUGGAAAGGAGGGGAAUUAUGCCAGGGACUGUCAUCAGUCCGCCCCUCCAACAGAUAUGAGGAUUUGUUAUCAUUGUCAUAAGGUUGGUCAUGUGAAGACCAACUGUCCGCAGCUCGCCGCCAAGCCGACGCAGGGUUCCGCACCAACUGCUUUCAGGAUUGGGGAUGGGAGGCCAGUCAAGAUGGAGCCUCCAAAGGCUUAGGGUCGUGCUUUCCAGCUCACGGCCGAGGAGGCCAAGGCAGCACCGGAUGUGGUUGCUGGUGUGUUUCUAUUUUCUAUUUCAGUAUUUUAUCUGUGUAUGCUUAUUCGUUGUACCUGUGUUUAGGUACAUUUUUAGUAAACUCUUUGCCUGCUUUGAUUUUAUUCGAUUCAGGGGCGAUUCGUUCGUUUGUAUCUUAGACUUUCAAUAGAGGGUUUAGUGUGCCGAUAAAUGAGCUUGAGUGUCCGUUGCGGGUUUCGAUCGCCAACGAGCACAUGGUCUCUGCUUCUUCGAUCUGUCGGGGAUGUGAGUUGGAGAUCUUCGGGGUGUCCUUCCCGAUAGAUAUGAUUCCUAUUCCCAUGGGGGAAGUGUGUGUAAUUAUAGGGAUGGAUUGGCUCAGUCAAUUUGGCGCCAUGAUCGACUGUGAAGGACAGCGAGUGGUGGUUCGAACCUUAAGUGGGGGCGAAUUGGUGGUAUAUGGCGAGGGCACCAAGAUGGGAUCAAGGUUUUGUUCGGCGGCCAGGGUUCGACAGUAUAUUCAGCAUGGGUGCGCUGGUUAUUUAGCGUAUGUGGUGGAUACACGGGUUAGGGAUCAACCCUUGGUUUUGGAGGUCACAGUAGUUAGAGAUUUUGCUGACGUGUUUCCGAAGGAGUUACCCGGAGUGCCUCCGGAGAGGUAGGUUGAGUUUCGGAUUGACCUAGUGCCGGGUGCGGCCCCUAUUGCUAGGGCGCUAUAUUGUCUGGCACCGCCUGAGAUGCAGGAGCAAUCAUCUUAGUUGCAGGAGCUGCUGGGUAAGCAGUUUAUUCAUCCGAGUAGUUCAACCUGGGGAGCAUCGAUCCUUUUCGUCAAGAAGAAGGACGGUUCACACAGGAUGUGCAUUGACUAUAGGGAUUAAAUAAUUUAACGGUGAAGAACCGUUAUCCACUCCCGAGGAUAUAUGAUCUAUUCGAUCAGCUGCAGGGUACAUCUUGGUUUUCCAAGAUCGAUUUGAGAUCCGGAUAUCACCAGGUCAGGGUGAGGGAGGAAGAUGUGGAGAAGACUGCGUUUCAGACUCGUUAUGGUCAUUACAAGUUUGUGGUGAUGCCGUUUGGGCUCACCAAUGCUCCGACCGUGUUUAUAGAUUUGAUGAAUCGAGUCUACAGACCGAUGCUCGAUCGCUCGGUCAUUGUGUUUACAAAAGAUAUCUUGGUAUAUUCCAAGACCCGAGAGCAGCAUGAGGAGCAUCUCAGGGAGCUGCUGGAGGUUCUGCGGCGAGAGCGGCUGUAUGGCAAGUUCUUGAAGUGUGAGUUUUGGUUAUGAGAGGUCCAGUUCCUCAGACAUCUCUUUAAUCAGGAGGGGAUUUUAGUCGAUCUGGCCAAGGUGGAGGCGUUUAUGUAGUGGGAGACUCCGAAAUAUCCCUCAGACAUCAGGAGUUUCUUGGGUUUGGCAGGGUACUACCGGAGAUUUAUUCGAGAUUUCUCCAAGAUUGCUGUACCCCUCACUCGUCUUACGAGGAAGGGGUGGAUUUCCGGUGGGGCCCUGAGCAGUAGAGGGCGUUUGAGACCCUCUGGAAGUGUUUAUGUGAGGCACCGGUGUUGACACUCCCCGAGGGAUUCGAGGAUUUUGUAGUAUAUUAUGAUGCAUCCAUCUCGGGUUUGGGGGCAGUCCUCAUGCAGAGGGGACAGGUGAUAGCUUAUGCAUCGCGGCAGCUGAAGCCGCAUGAGAGGAGAUACCCUACGCACGAUCUUGAGUUGGGAGCGGUUGUUUUCCCACUCAAGAUUUGGAGGCAUUAUUUGUACGGUGUCAGUUGCACUAUAUAUACAGAUCACAAGAUUUUGAGAUGUUGGAUUAAUGUCUAAGUCCAUAACGAUAUUUGGUAUGUACUUGACCCGACCCGACAUGGUCCAUUUGGGUUGCAUGGCAUCGGGACAAUUGGAUAGACAAGAUGAGGAAAAAAAGGAUACUAGUGAUUUAUAUUAAUAUAUUAUAAGUUCUAAUAUAUUAAUAUAUAAUCAUAUUAUUUAAUUAAUAUUGAUCAAGAAUUAAUUUAUAAUUAAUUAAGUGAUCAAAAGGAACUAAUUAAAUAUGGACUCUUAGAUAUAUAUGUGUGAUUGGCCAAGUUCAUUUAGGUUGGGCUAAGCUUUCAUGGAUAGUCCAUGGAGUGUUUAACCCAUGGAUCAUAUGAAAUGAAGGGUCAUGGGUUUAACCCUAAUCUCCACACUAUAUAAAGAUGUCCUUGGUUGGUGAAAUAGGCACUAGUGUGUGUACACAAAAGGGCAAGGCCGAUUUCACUAGAGAGAACCAAAGUAUCCUUAUUCUCAAGGUUAUUCAGAGUGUUCAUGGUGUUGUGUGAACCAUUUGAGUUGUUACAAUUGGGACACUAGGCACUCAAGCUUCAUGUCAAUUUACAUAAAAAAAGGUAUGUAUUCUAUCUAUUUUAUCACCCAAGUAUAUGAUAUUUGUAUGCUAGUAUAGGGUAAUAUCUUGGAAACUUCAUAUUUGCAUGUAUAAUAGAGAAAACAUAGAUCCAAGGUAUUUAGGGUUGUAUGUGCACCAUAGGAUGUUGUCGUAAGCUCAACACCCAACAGUGGUAUCAGUGCCAUGAGUUGUGUUCUGUUAUAUUUAUUUCAGAUGACUCGUUAUCUGAGUAUGCUCAAGACUGAUAUUCGACAAUUCAUGUCUACACAGCGUUGUGAUACCCUCUUGGAUCUUCAGGAAGCCGCGAGGCGGCGUGAGUUGUAGUUAGAGCUGCAGUUGAAGGAGCAGCCUCAGGCACCGGCACAGUCUCAGCCGGCGCCUGAGCAGUCUAAGACUAUUGAUGCUCAGGAUGGGAGUCAGCAGAGCCACACGUGUGGAAAGUGUGGGAGGGGUCAUUAUGGGGUUUGUCGAGCAGGAGGUGGGUGCCACAAAUAUGGCAAGGAGGGGCAUUAUGCCAGGGACUGUCGUCAGUCCGCCCCUCCAGCAGAUAUGAGGAUUUGUUAUCAUUGUCAUCAGGCUGGUCAUGUGAAGACAAACUGUUCACAGCUCGCCACCAAGCCGACGCAGGGUUCUGCACCAACUGCUGUGAGGAUUGGGGAUGGUAGGCCAGUCAAGGUGGAGCCUCCAAAGGCUCAGGGUCGCGCUUUCCAGCUCACGGCCGAGGAGGCCAAGGCAGCACCGGAUGUGGUUGCUGGUAUGUUUCUAUUUUCUGUUUCAGUAUUUUAUCUGUGUAUGCUUAUUGGUUGUACCUGUGUUUAGGUACGUUUUUAGUAAACUAUUUGCCUGCUUUGGUUUUAUUCGCUUUGGGGGCGAGUCGGUCGUUUGUAUCUCGGACUUUCAGUAGAGGGUUUAGUGUGCCGGUAGAUGAGCUUGAGUGUCCGUUGCGGGUUUCGAUCGCCAACGAGCACGGGGUCUCUACUUCUUCGAUCUGUCGGGGAUGUGCGUUGAAGAUCUUCGGGGUGUCCUUCCCGAUAUAUUUGAUUCCUAUUCCCAUGGGGGAAGUCGUUGUGAUUGUAGGGAUGGAUUGGCUCAGUCGAUUUGGGCGCCAUGAUCGACUAUGAAGGACAGCGAGUGGAGGUUCGAACCCCAAGUAGGGGAGAACUGGUGAUAUAUGGCGAGGGCACCAGGAUUGGAUCAGGGUUUUGUUCGGUGGCCAGGGCUCGACAGUAUAUUCAGCAUGGGUGUGCUAGUUAUUUAGCGUACGUGGUGGAUACGCGGGUUAGGGAUCAGCCCUCGGUUUCGGAGAUCCCAGUAGCUAGAGAGUUUGCUGACGUGUUUCCGAAGGAGUUACCCGGUGUGCCUCCGGAGAGGCAGGUUGAGUUCCGGAUUGACCUCGUGCCGGGUGCGGCCCCUAUCGCUGGGGCGCCAUACCGUCUGGCACCGCCUGAGAUGCAGGAGCAAUCAUCUCAGUUGCAGGAGCUUCUGGGUAAGCAGUUUAUUCUUCCGAGUAGUUCACCCUGGGGAGCAUCGAUCCUUUUUGUCAGGAAGAAGGAUGGUUCACACAGAAUGUGCAUUAACUAUAGGGAGUUAAAUAAUUUAACAGUGAAGAACCGUUAUCCACUCCCGAGGAUAGAUGAUCUAUUCGAUCAGCUGCAGGGUACAUCUUGGUUUUCCAAGAUCGAAUUUAGAUCCGGAUAUCACCAGGUCAGGAUGAGGGAGGAAGACGUGGAGAAGACUGUGUUUCAGACUCGUUAUGGUCAUUACGAGUUCGUGGUGAUGCCGUUUGGGCUCACCAACACUCUGGAAGUGUUAAUGGUUUUGAUGAAUUGAGUCUGCAGACCGAUGCUCGAUCGCUCGGUCAUUGUGUUUAUAGACGAUAUAUUGGUAUAUUCCAAGACCCGAGAGCAGCAUGAGGAGCAUCUCAGGGAGCUGCUGGAGGUUCUGCGGCGAGACCGGUUAUAUGCCAAGUUCUCGAAGUGUGAUUUUUGGUUACGAGAGGUCCAGUUCCUCAUACAUCUCAUUAAUCAGGAGCGGAUUUUAGUCGAUCCUGCCAAGGUGGACUUGGUUAUGCAGUGGGAGACUCUGAAAUCUCCCUCAGACAUCAGGAGUUUCUUGGGUUUGGUAGGUACUACCGGAGAUUUAUUUGAGAUUUCUCCAAGAUUUCAGUACCCCUUACUCGUCUUACAAGGAAGGGGGUGGAUUUCCGGUGGGGCCCUGAGCAGUAGAGGGCGUUUGAGACCCUCCGGCAGUGUUUAUAUGAGGCGCCGGUGUUGACUCUCCCCGAGGAAGUCGAGGAUUUUGUUGUACAUUGUGAUGCAUCCAUCUCGGGUUUGGGGGCAGUCCUCAUGCAGAGGGGACGGGUGAUAGCUUAUGCAUCGCGGCAGCUGAAGCCGCAUGAGACGAGAUACCCUACGCACGAUCUUGAGUUGGGAGCGGUGGUUUUCCCUCUCAAGAUUUGGAGGCAUUAUCUGUACGUUGUCCGUUGCACUAUAUAUACAGAUCACAAGAGUUUGAGAUGUUGAAUUAAUGUCUAAGUCCAUAACUAUAUUUAGUAUGUACUUGACCUGACCCGGCAUGGUCCAUUUGGGUUGCAUGGCAUCGGGACAAUUGGAUAGACAAGAUGAAGAAAAAAAGGAUACUAGUGAUUUAUAUUAAUAUAUUAUAAGUUCUAAUAUAUUAAUAUAUAAUCAUAUUAUUUAAUUAUUAUUGAUCAAGUAUUAAUUUAUAAUUAAUUAAGUGAUCAAAAGGAACUAAUUAAAUAUGGACUCUUAGAUAUAUAUGUGUGAUGGGCCAAGUUCAUUUAGGUUGGGCUAAGCUUUCAUGGAUAGUCUAAGGAGUGUUUAAUCCAUGGAUCAUAUGAAAUGAAGGGUCAUGGGUUUAACCCUAAUCUCCACACUAUAUAAAGAUGUCCUUGGUUGGUGAAAUUGGCACUAGUGUGUGUAUACAAAAGGGCAAGACCUAUUUCACUAGAGAGAACCAAAGUAUCCUUAUUCUCAACGUUAUUCCAAGUGUUCAUGGUGUUGUGUGAACCAUUUGAGGUGUCACACUUGGGGCACUAGGCACUCAAGCUUCAUGACAAGUUACAUGAAAAAGGUAUGUAUUCUAUCUAUUUUAUUACCCAAGUAUAUGAUAUUUGUAUGCUAGUAUAGGGUAAUAUCUUGGAAACUUCAUAUUUCCAUGUAUAAUAGAGAAAACAUAUGUGCACCAUAGGAUGUUGUAGUAUCCUCAACACCCAACAGUGGUAUCCGAGCCAUGGGUUGUUUUCUGUUAUAUUCAUACAAAUGUUUGAUUUUCAAAGUUGAAAAAAAAAAAGAAAAAAAAACAUGAAUUUUGUCAAAUAUUAAGAUAAUUACUUGUUUUUUGAAAAACUAAUUAUUUGUAAAAUUUGAAUCAUUUGCUAGAUGAGUUGAAUUAGGUCAAAUUUAGUAAAUGAUAAAAUGAUAUGAUUAUUUUAUUAGUUUUAAAAGUUUGAUUUAAAUGUUUUAAGGAGUUACAAAUUUGUCAUAAAAUUUUGGAGCUCAAAUUUUUUUUGUAAAGUUGUGAUCUCAAGUGUUUUGAAACCUCCAUAAGUUAUGGAUAUGAAAAUGUUUUAUAAAAAAUUGAUUCAAAGUUUUUAUGGAGUUACAAAAUUUGGUGUUAAUGUUUUAAACAACUCCAUAACUUAUUCUUAAGUUAUGGAACAUGAAAAGUUUCAUCAUAAAACAAGCAUUUACCUCCAUAAGUUAUGGAUUACCAAAAGUUUUAUGUUUCCUUGAUUUAUGAGUUAGUUUAGAUUAAUGGAAAAAAAUUGUGUUUUAGUUGUUUUCAAUCCUAAUUAAUCUAAAGGUAGUUCAUAAAAUGUGUUUUUGUAACUUGUUCUCAAAUUACAUAAAAGGUCACAUUUAUGAAUCUUAAAACUCAUAAAAGUGCCAUAAGUUACAUAAAAAAUGAAGAGUCUUUUUCAUUAAAUAGUAUUAUGACUCCAUAACUUGUCAUCAAGUUAUGGAUGUUUAAGAGUCACUUCUUUAAAAGUGUUAUUAAAGAAUAACAGGUUACAUAAAAAAUGAAGAGUCUUCAUUUUUAUGAACCAUUAAACUCAUAAGUUAUGAAAUGAAAAGUUUUGAAUAGUUUCAAAAACUUGCCCUCAAGUUUUGGAAUUUGUAAAGUUUUCACUUAUGAAUACUUUAAUUCCAAGUUAAGCCCUUAGAAUUUUAAAAGUUAAAAUUCAACCCUUAUACUUUAUAAUAUUAUAAGUUAAUAAUAUUUAUAUAUAUGUAUANCACAUGAGGUUUCUUAUGUAGUGUUAGAUUCUUUAGUCUAUGCUGAAAGUGUAAUUUAUUCCUCAUAUUGAAUAAAUCGAGUGAUCAUUCGACAUAAUCUUCAUUAUUUGUGUUUGUUCUUAUUUUCCGCAUCUUGUUCAUCAAAUCACAAUUAGGGUUUUCAUCCCAACAAGUGGUAUCAGAGCGGGUCUUUGAAGAUCUGUUGAUUUUUGAAGUAUCGGUUCUUGAUUUGAUGAUUUUCUGCACAAGAUUUUGAAGAUUGUUGGUGUUUUGGCGGUUUGGAAUCAAAAUUCUUGUUCGAUCUACUGUUCAUGAAGAUUUAUGGUAUAUUCUACUGUUCAUCGUGGUAUUUUUCUGUUCUUUGAAUCUGAUUUGCUUUGAGAUCAAAAUCUAUUGAUUCAAUUGUAUUUCAAUAAAUUCACGCUUGAGUCCAAUCCACGAGUUCCACUGUUAUUCAAUUUUUUUUUGGAUCUGAUUAUUACUCAUUCAACCGAUCCAACACCAGUUAUUUGUUCCUGAGCCCAUUAAUGCCAAUUACUGUUCAUCAAUUCAGCCCGCAUCUUGGUCUUUGAAAUUGUGUGAUCUGGGUCAUAUGGUCAACUCCUCUCCACAGGAAAUCGUUGUACUAUUCUUCGGUUCUUGAAUUGUAAUUUAUGAUCGAUAUUAUUGUCAAAAUCAAUUUUUGAUUUUAUUGAUUUUGAGUUUAAUCUUGUCGAUUCAUUCUUUCAUUGAAUAUCGAUUUUGUAUAGUGAUUGUAUUGAUCUGAGAAAGUCGAUUUUGGCAUUUGUCAAUAAUCGGUCUUGAUUGUCAAAGUAAAAAAAAAAAUCAAAAUCGACUUAUGUAAACGAAGAACAGUGGGUUAUUGAUCGGAAUUGAUUUGAAGACAGGUUCACAAUCGCUAAAUGGGUUUUGCAUUCGGGGCUUCAUAUAAUCAAAACAAAUGAAUUUACAAUCAGUAGAGUGAUGUUUGGAAUCGAAAUUCAAUUGGGAAGAAGAUUGAUGGUUUGUAGAUGGUGUAAUGGUGCUGCAAGCAGAAUGUGUUUGUGUAUCUGUUCGCAAUUGAUAGUCAAAGGCACAUUCAGAAAAGUCAAAAUCGACCGUGGUUCAGGUGAAUAAUGAGCGAACGCUAACCUGCAAACGUUCGCCUGUGAUUGGAUUUGUUGACAUACAUUCGCUUUGGGGUGUGAUCAUUCGAUUCGGAAGCGAACCUGUGAUUGGGUUCGUUUGUCAGCCCUUGGAACGAAAGAGGGGAGGACCGAAAGCGAACUUGUGGUUCGGCUCGGCUAAGGUUUCACUCCUUGUUCGCAUCGUGAUGUACCUGGAACAAACUUAAGUUCGGUUGGCUGCUCUUGGAACGAAAGCACUUGGAAGAAAGAAGGAAGGACCGAAAGCGAAAGGUGAUUCGCCUGAUGAAGCUUGGAACGGACCUGGAAGCGAAUGUCUCAAAUGGAAACGAAUGGAACCGAACGCUCGGUUGGGUUCGCUUCGGGUGUAUAAUUGACGAUCUUGGAACGAACUUAGAUUCAGUCGCUUGUGCUCGGAACGAAAGUAUAUGAAACUAAUUGGAGUCAUAUUUGUAGGUUCGUCUGUGACCAUUCGUUUAAAAUCACCAUUCCAGUCGCAUCCUUUUAUCAGGUUUCAAAUGAUGAAGAUAACUCAAAGUUUCACACUUGGUCCCUGCAACUUCAAGAACUUGACGAUCUGGUCCCUAUACUUUUCAUGCUUUGGCGGUUUUGGACUAAUUCCAGAUUUUGUUGCAAAUAAAGGGGUUUAUUGGUGCAUGAUUACAAUUUCAGCCCCUGAGUUUCUGGAAAGUGAUAAUUUCAGCCCAUUUUCGAAAAAGUUUACAAUCUUAAGGGCUGGUGAACAGUUUUGAAUUCUUUAACGCACAUAUCUUUUUCGUGAACAGAAAAAUAAAGAUUCCAUCAAGUCUUGGUGGUUCGGAAAGUCAUUUUUCGUGAUAACGUCAAAUUUUCACGAUUUUUUGGGAUUUUAUACUUCAUUGUGUAUAUCUUUUUGUCGCGGGGGAGCUUAGUAAAUUUUUAUCCAUUCAAGAUCAUUCUCAUGACCAUUUGAAGGCUUUAUAAUCAUGUUUUUGAUUAUAAAUCGGGGGAGAAUUUGGUAUGGCCAUUCGAAAUUGGAUUUGUGACUUUUCAAAGUUGAAGAUUUUUGAUAAAGCUUGUGGUAGAAUUAUGAAGGUAGCUUUUACAACGGAAGUUCUUCAUCGAGCUCUGCUAAAGCUUUUACAGAGAAGUAUCCUUUACAGCGGAAGUUCUUUAUCGAGCUCUGCUAAGGACUUGUUAUAUCUCCGACUUCUUGUAUUUUCUCGAUCAAGUGGCGUUACGAAUCUUAAAGUUUGGGUUGUUACAUGAUAUUUUUUGAUGGCUUAUAUCAUUAGCUUAUUUGAAGAUCAUUGUGACUUGGAGGGGGAGCUCUUCAAAGACAAGAAGUGAUUCGGUUUCUUUGUUCUGAAAUGGGUUUUUAUGGCGGGUUUGGUUUUCAUGAAGAUUCUUUGGGAUUACAUUCGAAAAUGAAGUUUAAAGACAUUACUUCAGUGCUUGAUUUAUAUAUCCUAGAGCCCGUGUUUGAAGACUAUUGAAGAAUCAAGAUUCGUGGAUUGCUUCAUAUAUUCCUCGUUGCAGAUCUUUUUAUUUGCUAGAUGCUUGUUUUGGAAGUUAAAGCAUUGUCAUCCAUUCCAUACUUUGAGGGGGAGAUUGUAGGGUUUCAAAGCACUCCAUGGAUGAUGGCAAUGGGCCCCUUUGAUGAAUUCUAGGUUAAAAGCCCAAGACUUGUCUUUUCCCUAUAAAUAGUCAUGUAUUAUUCANNNNNNNNNNNNNNNNNNNNNNNNNNNNNNNNNNNNNNNNNNNNNNNNNNNNNNNNNNNNNNNNNNNNNNNNNNNNNNNNNNNNNNNNNNNNNNNNNNNNNNNNNNNNNNNNNNNNNNNNNNNNNNNNNNNNNNNNNNNNNNNNNNNNNNNNNNNNNNNNNNNNNNNNNNNNNNNNNNNNNNNNNNNNNNNNNNNNNNNNNNNNNNNNNNNNNNNNNNNNNNNNNNNNNNNNNNNNNNNNNNNNNNNNNNNNNNNNNNNNNNNNNNNNNNNNNNNNNNNNNNNNNNNNNNNNNNNNNNNNNNNNNNNNNNNNNNNNNNNNNNNNNNNNNNNNNNNNNNNNNNNNNNNNNNNNNNNNNNNNNNNNNNNNNNNNNNNNNNNNNNNNNNNNNNNNNNNNNNNNNNNNNNNNNNNNNNNNNNNNNNNNNNNNNNNNNNNNNNNNNNNNNNNNNNNNNNNNNNNNNNNNNNNNNNNNNNNNNNNNNNNNNNNNNNNNNNNNNNNNNNNNNNNNNNNNNNNNNNNNNNNNNNNNNNNNNNUAUAUAUAUAUAAGAGUAAAGUCGUCUUACCAUUAGUAGGCCUCAUUCACGAAGCCGCUCUAUAAGGGGGGGGGUAUAAGGUUACUACCUAUAACAUGGCAGUUUAAUGAGUGUCCACUCUCACCCACCGCUUCCUUGACCGUGGGGGGUCGUUAGCCGAAUGAGUAAGACAAGGACUAUAAUUCUCCCUUCAUUAAAAGUAUUAAUGAUAAAUACUAAGUAAUUAAACUCUUAUUAAUACCGAAUCUUAGUUACUUAGAAAAAUGUGAAUUUGGUGCUAACCCAUGAAAUUACACUUUGUACUUUGUUUAAGUCGGUUAGUGGAGCGUGUGUGGUUAACCGGCACACUAGCUUGAUUUAACAAGGUACGUAAAGGGUAACUUAAUGUUUAUCAUAGUGUCGGUGGAGCGUGUGUGGUUAACCGACACAUCGAUUGAGGGGUAAAUAUUAAGGGUACCAAGUUGAUUUGCAUGGUUAUUCACACCUUAUUUUGUGAUCAUCGGCAUCCCAGUCAUAAAACCUGAAGCGCAAACUUGAGAUUGAAACCUGCCUUUUAAAAGUUCAAUGAAUCUCAAAAGAAUAUAGGACUUUCAAAACCAAUUAAAACAUAAUAAUACAUUUCGUUUAUCUUGGUGGAAAUUGGUGAAUCUUCAUUCGCCUACCUUCAAAUAUUUUAUAGCUUGGAUUAUGUAAUCCCUCUUCCAAGUUAUAAAAUAGUUUGCUGGGUCCUAGCCUUAAUGUUUCAUAUUGGGUGUUAUAUUAAGGACUUUAGAUCAACUAUCUUGAAUAUCUCCCAAAACGAUGUCUGGUUCAGACAUCUAUGAUCCUCCUAAAUCUCUUGGAACUUCACUUCCUCCACCUCCUCCAAUUAUUCUCCCUAACCUACAAGUUCAAGGUCACUCAAGCCCUAUUGGCAAGCAAGGUCUAUGUGUGAUCGCAUCUUGGAGAUGAAGUCACAUAUCGACAAGCCAGGAGAGUUGGGUGUCAAACUCUUAAGAAAGUUGGUGGUUCUAUCACUUUCUAAGUCACAUAGUGAAUUCCUUUGGGACUACUAUGAAACAGACUAUGACAUGACCAUUAAUGAUCUUAUCUAUUUGCUUGGUGCUGCUGAAUCAGUAAUAAUUUGGAGCACUGGGAGAGAAAGUUUGAUUAGUAGAUCAACUUCCCAAACUACCAUGGACAUUGACAAUGGUAACAUUGGAUAUCUAGAAAAUCCUUCUCUUCCCAAGGAAAGGGAUUGACUAUAGUCAACUAGGUUGACCAAAUGGUAAAGAGAAAGGCUAAGCCUGCGAUAGUCCCAUGUACCAUUCCCAAAGAGUCCCUAUGUUUCUCUUGCCAAAGGAAGGGGCAUUGAUUGCGAAGCAUCCUAUUUACCUGAAAGAUCAUAAGGUUGAUCAAGUCAAGAAGAUUGACUCUACUUCAGGUAAAGUCCACUAUCUAACUCUGUUAAGUUUCUAUUAUGAGAUUCUUGUUACAUGAUGUGACUGGGUCACAUGUUGAUGUUUUAAGAAUCAAAGAAAAGUGAAGAAACUUAAAGGAAGUAUAUGCUGAUUCUGAUCGCGAAGAUGGAUCUCGAUCGCAUGGUUCUAUGAUCAGAAUUUUGAGCUGUUGCUUAGGAGUUAUGAUAUAUUGCUUAGGAAUAGAUAACAACAAAGUUUUUCGUGUGCUUUUGUACUGUAAGGAUAGUUUUUCCGCAAAGUUUUUAAAAUAAAAGGAAAAAAAUUGAUUUUACUUAUUUUAAAAUAUCCUUACAAUGGCAUUUGUGAAAAGGAAAAAAUUGUUGCUUAUAUGAUUCCAUUAAUAGAAAGAGUGGAAAUAUGAAUUUGAUUCUUUCAUUUGUGGUAGUGUCUAAAUUUUCCAAAUAAGGAAAGAUUCUCAUCACCCAAGUUUUAGUUGGAUAGAAACUUGGAAUCAUGCAAGUUGUAUAGUAUGAUGAAUGAGAACUUUCAAGCAUUGGAAAUUAAGACUAAUUACUUGUUCACAUGGAUGUGUGAGUCAAGUAAAGGACUAAGGGAUCGAGUACACAUUCUUGUGCACUGAUCAAGCCCACCACAAAUGUAACUUGAGUGACACAUCUUAAAGAAGGUUUAUUAACACUAGUGAAAUGUAAGAGUAAAAGGUUUUCUACUCUUGUACAUUUGAAUUUGGUAAGUUGUGAUGUUUUGGAUAAAACAGAGACCAACUUAGGCCAAUUGUGUUAAGUGUUUGUCUUGAUUAGAAUCCACACUAUCUCUUGAAUAUUUGGCAAGAAAGUCUUAUAGGUCAAGGAGACAGUGGGAGUCUAAAAGAUCCUGAAAGGGUUUCAAGAAGUAAUCAAGAAUAAAACCUGUAUUUCAUCACUAGCACACAACUAGAGGUUUAUAGCCUAUCGUGUUGACAUUUCUGUGCCCAUUCCAGUUAGGUUGGCUAUAUAUAUUUUAGUUCUACAUGUUCUCAAUUGUUUGCAUAACUACAUGGAAGCAAUGGCAGACCCUUGUGCUGCUAGGUGGCAAGAGGUUAAGAUUGCUCAAGUUCAAUCCAUAUGCGUUAGGAUUUGUCACUAACCUAGUCUUGUGAUUAUGGAUUGACAAAUUCACAUGGAUAAGAACACAUACACCAUAAAUUCUAAGUGUCAUAAGGUUUCUCUCUGAUUCAUGAAAUUGACAGUGAGGAAAUUCUUUCACUAAGUAGAUUUUAAGUAGAUAGCAAUUGUGAUAUUUUUAGUUCUCAAAUUCGUUAGUGGAGCGUGCAUGGACACUAACAUGGACUUAUGAGAAAUGUCAAAGGUCUAAACAAUUGAGACUGUGAUUACGACAUCCCUUUUCAUAGCUCUUAAAUUGUUUAGACACACCUGUGAGAUAUCUAAGAGAGGUGUAUGAUUUUGAUAAAGUCUUAUCAAAAAAAUAUAGUAUCAGAAAUCUAAACUUUGGUAAGAAAGUCAAUAAAGUAUUGAUAUCUAGAAGUCCAGCUCAUUUCUGGAUACAUGUCAAAGCUAGUGGGAGCAUAAGUGUUAUGCUAAUAAUCAUCAUGUUAGUGGGAGCAUGAUAAUUAUGAUAAGUAUUGCAAGUUAGCAAUGUUAAUUAUAGAAAACAAAAGUUUCAAUUCGUGAGGUUGCAGGGGUUGAAAAAGUUGUUUUGCUAUAAUUAAGGGAGAGGAAAUUAUACUUCAUUUCAAUUCUAAAAAGCUUAGAUUGAGUUUAUAAUCAUUCUAAAGAGCUUAUAUUGAGAUUUUAAUCACCUUUAGUCAAGAAUUUAUAUAUGAAUUUCAUUUUGGAUUGGUUCAACUUAAGAAAAUUCUAUAUAUUGCGUUCUCAAAAUUCGAUUAUGAUUACGACAUCCCUUUUCAUAGUCAAAUUUUAAGAAUAUGGCAAACAAAAAAUUAUUAUGGCAAAAGACUAGUCUAGAACCAUGUCUUUAUGUGAAACAUUAUCAAUCGUGUCCCAUUUACUUUGGGUACAAGAUCGAUUACAUGUGCUAUAAUAUUUAUUCUUUCUAAAUUUUCCAAAUGCCUUGGGGCAUUAAGGAGGAAAAUUUCUAGAAUUGGAUAUGACUAAAGUGAUUAAGCAAUUGUCGAGGACAAUCUAAGGUUUACCAAAGAUUGGUUGAUCAAGGACAGUUGGAAGUAUACUGUUAAUAUUGGAAGGACCAUAUUGACAUAGUCUGAAAAGAGGCAACUCUUGUUCAGAAGUGGUAGUCAAAAUGGGAAUAUAGAGUUGUCUUCAUAGGUGGAAGCAAUCUGUGUAAGGUUAAAGAAACUUAAUGCAAGAAGCAUGUUCAAAGCAAUGCGCUUUGAAUUUGAGACAUCGUUUCCAUGGAAUUGCUCUCCAUUGGAAUACUCUGUAAUGAUUGUUUCCAAGUCUUUGUGGCUUUGUGCAUAAUCAUUACAAGAGGAUCUGUGCAUAUAAGUUUAAAAUCUAAACAGAUUUCAAUAAAUGUUAGGAAUUCUUACAUUUACGACAAGGAUUUGGAAGUGUGAAAAGAGAAUCAUUGAAAUUAUGUUCAAUCGAUCUAGUUCACAAAGUAAGGAUCAUAGAUAAACAUAGAGUGCAUACUUGGUGUAUGGCAAAGCUAUUGUUUAGAAAAACAUAGUGUACAUGCUUGGAGCAUGGGACAACUAGUGUUUUUAAUUCAGGUAUAAAGUUGAUAAAACCGAAACAAUGAAUAAUGAGUAAUCAGUAUGGUGAUAAGUAAAAGUGGUCUAUUUAUAUUCAUAGGGUUUGAUACCAUAUUUAAUUCAUUUAUUCUUGUAUUUCACUUUGCAUGUUUUGACUUCCAUAAUAACUAGGUUAUUCUUCCAGAAUGACUAAGUUAUUCAAACCAUCCAUAGUCGCUCAUAUGUUGGAAGUAGAUAUGAAUCAAGACUGUCAUGGGUUGGCUUGUAGAGGUCCAAGUUGGUGGACAAAGUUGUGCUACAACACUCAUGAGNCUCAUAAGUUUUGAGUAUUGGAUUUAACCCGCGCUCAUUUAAAUCACUUCAUGGAUUUUAUCACGAGUGAUCAUGAGAUGGUAACAUCUUAUAUUCUUCAAACCUAGAGAUAUGAGUUGUUACUAUGAGUUGGUUAUACAUUGAUUGCACGAAAACGCAUUGGUAACUCGAUGUUAUAAAAUGUGCCUUUGUAUAUGAUUCAACAAGUAGUAGAACAAGCCAUAUGAGUCGAAGUUUAUCCAUUCCUUUUACCUUCGGGAUAAAAGCGAUAUAUGUGGGCCCCUCGAUGAUUUAGUGAUGACACAUGUGAGUGCUUGGCCAAGCCAGGACUGAUUUGAUUUGUUCAAUCAGUCAUUCGUCAUAAAUCGAAAAUCAGGAAACAACAAAUGGACAGAUAAAAUGUUUUAUAAUCCAUGUCUCAGUCCAUAUGAUAUCUAUAAUGGAGGAAUAUUCGAUCCCUUAUCUAAUGGAAAAGUCAUUGACAAGAUCAGAGUUCAGUUAACACGUCAGAGUUCGACAGAAGCUUUUGAGAGCUACGAUUGCUAGUCGGGUUUUGAAGUCAUACUCAAUAAUAGUUUUAGACUUAUCCAAGUGGGAGACUGUUGGAUUAAUGUCUAAGUCCAUAACUAUAUUUGGUAUGUACUUGACCCGACCCGGCAUGGUCCAUUUGGGUUGCACUUCACCGACACAAUUUANGAAAAAAGGAUACUAGUGAUUUAUAUUAAUAUAUUAUAAGCUCUAAUAUAUUAAUAUAUAAUCAUAUCAUUUAAUUAGUAUUGAUCAAGAAUUAAUUUAUAAUUAAUUAAGUGAUCAAAAGGAACUAAUUAAAUAUGGACUCUUAGAUAUAUAUAUGUGUGAUGGGCCAAGUUCAUUUAGGUUGGGCUAAGCUUUCAUGGAUAGUCCAAGGAGUGUUUAACCCAUGUAUCAUAUGAAAUGAAGGGUCAUGGGUUUAACCCUAAUCUCCACACUAUAGAAAUAUGUCAUGGGUUGGUGAAAUAGGCACUAGUGUGUGUACAAAAAAGGGCAAGGCCGAUUUCACUAGAGAAAACCAAAGUAUCCUUAUUCUCAAGGUUAUUCCAAGUGUUCAUGGUCUUGUGUGAACCAUUUGAGGUGUCACACUUGGGGCACUAGGCACUCAAGCUUCAUGGAGACAAGUUACAUCAGAAAGGUAUGUAUUUUAUCUAUUUUAUUACCCAAGUAUAUGAUAUUUGUAUGCUAGUAUAGGGUAAUAUCUUGGAAACUUCAUAUUUGCAUGUAUAAUAGGGAAAACAUAGAUCCAAGGUAUUUAGGGAUAUAUGUGCACCAUAUGAUGUUAUAGUAUACUAAAACCCAACAUGAGACACAUCAUGGAUCAACCGAACCUGAACAUGAGGCAGUGUAGGUGGCUGGAUGUGGUCAAGGACUACGAUUGUGAGAUACUUUACCAUCCUGGUAAAGCGAAUGUGGUUGCGGAUGCUUUGAGCCGCAACUCAGCUGGGUCUUUUACCCUAGCAAGGUGUAUGAGGAUAGCGGUGGAUUCCCCGCUUGUGAGCUUGAUUAGGGAUGCUCAUGUUUAGGGUAUGAGACCGGAGAACUGGAAGUUGGAAAGAAUUAAGGGCGUGAGCGCCUGGUUUGUUCAGGAUAUUCGCGGGUUGUUGACCCGUUACGGUCGGGUUUGGGUUUCGAUGUCCGGAGGAGUUCGGCAGACAGUGAUGGAGGAGGCUCAUAAGUCUCACUUUUCUAUUCAUCCGGGGCCACCAAGAUGUACCGUGAUUUGAGUUUGGGUUAUUGGUGGCCCGGAAUGAAGCGAGAAAUCACUGGGUAUGUUGAGUGGUGCCUGACCUGUAGAAUGGUCAAGGCCGAGCAUCAACAACCGCAUGGUAAGCUGCAGCCUCUGGAAAUUCCGAUGUGGAAAUGGGAGCAGAUCACGAUGGAUUUUAUUACGAAGUUGCCACCGAGAACGGCGAAGGGGUUUGAUGCUAUAUGGGUCAUCGUGGAUCGGUUGACCAAGAGUGCCAAUUUCUUGGCCAUACGGGAAAGUUCGUCGGCUGAGAAAUUGGCUGACAUAUAUGUCAGCGAGAUUGUCUCUCACCAUGGGGUUCCAGUUUCUAUCAUUUCCGAUCAGGAUGUCAGGUUUACUUCCCGUUUUUGGCAGAAGUUCCAUGAGGAACUGGGUACGCGACUACACUUUAGUACAACAUUCCAUCCGCAGACCGAUGGGAAGAGUGAGCGGACCAUCUAGACCCUCGAGGAUAUGCUGAGGGCGUGCGUCAUUGACUUUGGUGGGAGUUGGGAUUCCUACCUACCGCUUGCAGAGUUCGCCUACAACAACAACUAUCAUUCCAGUAUUGGCGCCCCGCCUUUCGAGCUGUUGUAUGGGCGGAAGUGUAGAACCCCAGUCUGCUGAGGUGAGAUUGGGCACAGGGUGAUGGCGCGGACAGAGGUAGUUCUGCAAACUACCGAAAAGAUACAGCAGAUUAGACAGCGUUUGCAGACAGCUCAGAGUCGGCAGAAGAUUUAUGCUUACAGACCCCGAUCUGAAUUGGAAUUUCAGGUGGGUGGCAUGGUACUUCUAAAAGCCUCACCUUGGAAAGGUGUGAUUCGCUUCAAGAAGAGGGGAAAAUUGGGUCCCCGUUAUAUUGGGCCAUUCAGGAUCAUUGCCAGGGUUCGCAAGGUGGCUUAUAGGCUCGAGCUCCUGGAGGAGCUUAGCUAGAUCCACAACACGUUCCAUGUUUUGCAGUUGCGAAAGUGCAUUAUGGAUCAUGAGGCAGUAGUAUCAUUGGACGACAUUCAGGUCGAUGAGCGCCUGAAUUAUGUGGAGAGGCCGGUGGCCAUUUUAGAAAGGAAGAAGAAGAUUCUUCAGAACAAGGAAAUACCGUUGGUGAAGGUGCAAUGGGAACACCGGAGGGUAUCUAAGUGGACAUGGGAGCUGGAGACGGAGAUGCACGAGCAUUACCUAGCAUUGUUUAUUUCAAAGGACUUCGAGGGCGAAGUCUAGUUCAAGUGGGGGAGAACUGUAAUGCCCCAAUUCUCAGGUAUGGAUUUAAAUAAAAGGUUCUUUGGUUUUAAGUCCUACUUGACGAGUUCGUUGCCCUACUCGUCGAGUAGCAGCGGGGUGAGAUCGCAUGUUAAGUGACCUACUCGCCGAGUCCAGGGAGGGACUCGACGAGUAAGAGCUCGCAGAAGAAACCCUAAAUCUCGGGGUUUUGCACCAUAUUUAAGGAAACCUCAGCCUCCUUUGGCCUCCUUACAGUCUUUGAGAGCUCAAUGAAACCCUAAUUCAUGUGGUACUCCUUGUGGUGUGUGUUAGACCUUAGAAAGAAGAUUGGCUUGGAGGGAAGAGCAUGAAGAGCAAAGGGGUUGAGGCAAGGAACGUGUGGGAAAUAGAACUUACCUCAUCUAGCAUCUUUUGGAGGUAUCAAGUUGCAAUAUUUACUCCCCUUUUCUUCUAGAUCUCUUUGUGGUUGAGUUCUAGGGUUUUAUGGAUUUUUGGGAGUCACAUUGGUGAGCUAUGGGCUAGAUCUGAAGUUGUAACUUCAGAUCUGGACCCUUCUCAAGUUCUAGAAUCAUAAAGUUUCUGUUUUGGUCGUGGUUGAGGCCCUCCUUGUGCAUGAAACCUCAUUAAGAGCUUAGAUUUGGCAUUAAGAGCCUUGUUAGUCAUGCAUGCACGUAAAGUUUGCAACUUUAUGUGAAAAGCAUGUCCUAGAAGCUUGGAUUUGUAAUUUAGAGCCAUUACAUGGCUUAAAUAAGUCUGUAUGGCUUAAGGACUGAAGGAACUUGGCGAGUCGCAAGGUUGACUCGGCGAGUCAUAUGAAGAUGGCCGAUGAACUCGACGAGUUGAUGAACAACUCGGCGAGUUCGAUGAAGAUUGCCUUAUAUUUGACGAGUUGUAUUAACAACUCGGCGAGUCUG